UACGUAGGCAGCAAGCGUUGUUCGGAGUUACUGGGCGUAAAGGGUGUGUAGGCGGUUGGAUAAGUGUGGGGUGAAAUCUCCCGGCUCAACUGGGGAGGGUCACUCGAUACUGAUCGACUCGAAGGCAGGAGAGGGAAGUGGAAUUCCCGGUGUAGUGGUGAAAUGCGUAGAUAUCGGGAGGAACACCAGUGGCGAAGGCGACUUCCUGGCCUGUUCUUGACGCUGAGGCGCGAAAGCUAGGGGAGCAAACGGG
Molecule: ribosomal RNA, 253 nt
Filed under: uncultured bacterium
Lineage: Bacteria
Description: partial 16S ribosomal RNA
Rfam family: Bacterial small subunit ribosomal RNA
Source: RNAcentral